This 414-nucleotide ribosomal RNA is filed under the name Alexandrium tamarense. RNAcentral describes it as "partial Eukaryotic large subunit ribosomal RNA". It matches the Rfam family "Eukaryotic large subunit ribosomal RNA", at positions 1476 to 1881 of the family's 3401-position model. The record is from RNAcentral. Lineage: Eukaryota; Dinophyceae; Gonyaulacales; Pyrocystaceae.
UGAGAACUUUGAAGACUGAAGUGGAGAAAGGUUUGACGUGAACAGCAAUUGGACGUCAGUGAGCCGCUCCUAAGAGAUAGGGAAACUCCGUUCAGAAGUUGGGCUUUCCUCGGACAGCUCCGCCUAUCGAAAGGGAACACGGUUAAUAUUCCGUGGCCGGGACGUGGAUAACGUGUGGCAACACAAGCGAGCUCGGAGACGCCAGAGGGAACCCCGGGAAGAGUUUUCUUUUCUUGUUAACAGUCUAUUACCCUGGAAUCAGUUUAGCUGGAGAUAGGGUUAAAUGGCUGGGAAAGCAGGUGGAUUUUCCGCCUGUCCGGAGCGUUCUCGACGGCCCUUGAAAAUCCGAGUGAGAGACUUAUUUGCACCCCCGGGCGUACUCAUAACCGCAUCAGGUCUCCAAGGUGUGCAGCC